GUGAUGUUUAAAAUAAGAAUUCACAAUGAUGAUUGGUAUACUCAAGUAUAGUACUAGUACUUGCAUGAUCAUGUAUAUGAAUUUGAUAAUUGUUUGGUUUAUUAUUGAUUGUGUUGUGAUUAUAGAUUCACUGAGUAAAAUAGUUGCUCAUGACUCAUUCGUGUGUGCAGGUAACUCUUAGGCGGGAGACACUUUACUUUUUGGACGGAAGGAACGGCUAACCAGCGGUAGUAUUUUGUUGUCCUUGCAACGUACCUUUUGAUAUAUAUUUACCUAAAACGUUGUUGGGCAAUAGGCCGUAGGAUAAAACUAUAAC
This 316-nucleotide long non-coding RNA is filed under the name Brassica napus (rape). RNAcentral describes it as "long non-coding RNA (BNAP_LNC023550)". Lineage: Eukaryota; Viridiplantae; Streptophyta; Magnoliopsida; Brassicales; Brassicaceae. The record is from RNAcentral.